UCUCCUCGCACUCUGCCCCCGUCGCCCUCCGCGCCCCUCGCCUCCUGCCCCUUCUCGCCUCCUGCCCCCCUCGCCUUCCCGGCUGAGCAGCCGCGGCUGUGGGUGGCCGCGCUCGCUGCGGGCUGGGCCGGCGCCGCAGCAGGCUGCAAUCGGGGCUGCGUGCGGGAGAAACCGCUGAGGAGAGAGAGCCGAGAGGGCCGAGCGUGGGGACGGCCAGCCGUGCAGCCCCACACGCUCCCGGCGGGACACCGGGCCCAGCCUGACCUGGCAAGGCUUUAGGCAGCAGAGGGGAAAGAGAGGAGCAAGGAGAAGGGACAGGGCUGCUUCCAGACGUGUCCUGUUCGGCAUCCCUGGGCUGUGCUAACGAUGGCUUAAAACCUCGGUGGCCUCUUCCAGCCUACAUCCAGUAUGGAUGUUUACUACCACAAACCUGCUUCAAGCACCACCACAUAUUCUGAAAAAGAAUAUCUUUACCUGAAUUUACGGUGUUGUUGGGCAGAGAAGGAAAAUACAACAGAUACAUUCUGAAUGGUAGACUGGGGGAGAGCAAGAGGUCGGGACACAGCUGGGACAGCCAACCACAAAAUGAUCAACAUACUAAUAAAAGCUGAGGAAGGAAGAAACAGGGUGACAUUCAGGUUUACAGCGUUUGUCUUCCUGAGGAACAGCUGUAUGUGAUGGAGCCUUGCUUUGCUGCAAAUGGAAGAACACC
Zonotrichia leucophrys gambelii is the source of this 712-nucleotide long non-coding RNA. RefSeq lists it as uncharacterized. The record is from RefSeq and is a predicted model, not a curated record. The transcript has 3 exons. Lineage: Eukaryota; Metazoa; Chordata; Aves; Passeriformes; Passerellidae.